GACGGAAGGUGCAAGCGUUGCUCGGAAUCACUGGGCGUAAAGGGUGCGUAGGCGGCCGUGCAAGUCUGGCGUGAAAGCCCCGGGCUCAGCCCGGGAAGUGCGCUCGAAACUGCGCGGCUCGAGUGCCGGAGGGGAGAGUGGAAUUCCUGGUGUAGCGGUGAAAUGCGCAGAUAUCAGGAAGAACACCGGUGGCGAAGGCGGCUCUCUGGGCCUUACCUGACGCUGAGGAGCGAAAGCGUGGGUAGCGAACAGG
RNAcentral lists this ribosomal RNA (253 nucleotides) under uncultured bacterium. Its description in RNAcentral is "partial 16S ribosomal RNA". It matches the Rfam family "Bacterial small subunit ribosomal RNA", at positions 524 to 776 of the family's 1533-position model. The record is from RNAcentral.